Molecule: ribosomal RNA, 525 nt
Filed under: Bifidobacterium longum subsp. suillum
Lineage: Bacteria; Bacillati; Actinomycetota; Actinomycetes; Bifidobacteriales; Bifidobacteriaceae
Description: bacterial SSU rRNA
Rfam family: Bacterial small subunit ribosomal RNA
Source: RNAcentral
UAAUGCCGGAUGCUCCAGUUGAUCGCAUGGUCUUCUGGGAAAGCUUUCGCGGUAUGGGAUGGGGUCGCGUCCUAUCAGCUUGACGGCGGGGUAACGGCCCACCGUGGCUUCGACGGGUAGCCGGCCUGAGAGGGCGACCGGCCACAUUGGGACUGAGAUACGGCCCAGACUCCUACGGGAGGCAGCAGUGGGGAAUAUUGCACAAUGGGCGCAAGCCUGAUGCAGCGACGCCGCGUGAGGGAUGGAGGCCUUCGGGUUGUAAACCUCUUUUAUCGGGGAGCAAGCGAGAGUGAGUUUACCCGUUGAAUAAGCACCGGCUAACUACGUGCCAGCAGCCGCGGUAAUACGUAGGGUGCAAGCGUUAUCCGGAAUUAUUGGGCGUAAAGGGCUCGUAGGCGGUUCGUCGCGUCCGGUGUGAAAGUCCAUCGCUUAACGGUGGAUCCGCGCCGGGUACGGGCGGGCUUGAGUGCGGUAGGGGAGACUGGAAUUCCCGGUGUAACGGUGGAAUGUGUAGAUAUCGAAAAA